Molecule: ribosomal RNA, 222 nt
Filed under: uncultured bacterium
Lineage: Bacteria
Description: partial 16S ribosomal RNA
Rfam family: Bacterial small subunit ribosomal RNA
Source: RNAcentral
AGUAAUGUAUGGGGAUCUGCCCGAUAGAGGGGGGUAACUACUGGAAACGGUGGCUAAUACCGCAUAAUGUCUACGGACCAAAGCAGGGGCUCUUCGGACCUUGCACUACCGGAUGAACCCAUAUGGGAUUAGCUAGUAGGUGGGGUAAAGGCUCACCUAGGCGACGAUCUCUAGCUGGUCUGAGAGGAUGAUCAGCCACACUGGGACUGAGACACGGCCCAG